GAUGAACGCUGGCGGCGUGCCUAACACAUGCAAGUCGAGCGGACAGAUGAGGCUUUUGCCUGGAUGCAGCGACGGGCGGGUGGGUGAUUCACAGGAGUCUGCCUGACCUUGGAGGAUAACAUCCUGAAAGGAACGCUGAUACAACAUACGACCAGAUAGUGAAACGGGUGGAUCUUUGGAGCAAACGGGAUUUGAUGAGCCUAGGUCGUAUUAGCGAGUUGGUGGGGUAAAGGCUUACCAAGACGGCGAUCCGUAGCCAAUCUGAGAGGAUGACCAGCCACACUGGAACUGAGACACGGUCCAGACUCCUACGGGAGGCAGCAGUGGGGAAUCUUCGGCAAUGGGCGAAAGCCUGACACAGCGACGCCGCGUGUGUGAUGAAGGUCUUCGGAUCGUAAAGCACUUUUAGUUGGGAGGAACGGAUGUAUAAUAAUACAUUGCUGUCUUGACGUUACCAACUCAAAAAGCACCGGCUAACUACGUG
RNAcentral lists this ribosomal RNA (484 nucleotides) under uncultured bacterium. RNAcentral describes it as "partial 16S ribosomal RNA". It matches the Rfam family "Bacterial small subunit ribosomal RNA", at positions 28 to 507 of the family's 1533-position model. The record is from RNAcentral.